GCCCGCAUAGCUCAGUGGACAGAGCGCCCGCCUACGAAGCGGGAGGCCGCAGGUUCGACCCCUGCUGUGGGCA
RNAcentral lists this transfer RNA (73 nucleotides) under Acidithiobacillus ferrooxidans ATCC 23270. It matches the Rfam family "tRNA". Rfam says of the family: Transfer RNA (tRNA) molecules are approximately 80 nucleotides in length. Their secondary structure includes four short double-helical elements and three loops (D, anti-codon, and T loops). Further hydrogen bonds mediate the characteristic L-shaped molecular structure. tRNAs have two regions of fundamental functional importance: the anti-codon, which is responsible for specific mRNA codon recognition, and the 3' end, to which the tRNAs corresponding amino acid is attached (by aminoacyl-tRNA synthetases). tRNAs cope with the degeneracy of the genetic code in two manners: having more than one tRNA (with a specific anti-codon) for a particular amino acid; and 'wobble' base-pairing, i.e. permitting non-standard base-pairing at the 3rd anti-codon position. Lineage: Bacteria; Pseudomonadati; Pseudomonadota; Acidithiobacillia; Acidithiobacillales; Acidithiobacillaceae. The record is from Rfam by way of RNAcentral.